Molecule: transfer RNA, 72 nt
Organism: Ipomoea nil (Japanese morning glory)
Lineage: Eukaryota; Viridiplantae; Streptophyta; Magnoliopsida; Solanales; Convolvulaceae
Rfam family: tRNA
About the family: Transfer RNA (tRNA) molecules are approximately 80 nucleotides in length. Their secondary structure includes four short double-helical elements and three loops (D, anti-codon, and T loops). Further hydrogen bonds mediate the characteristic L-shaped molecular structure. tRNAs have two regions of fundamental functional importance: the anti-codon, which is responsible for specific mRNA codon recognition, and the 3' end, to which the tRNAs corresponding amino acid is attached (by aminoacyl-tRNA synthetases). tRNAs cope with the degeneracy of the genetic code in two manners: having more than one tRNA (with a specific anti-codon) for a particular amino acid; and 'wobble' base-pairing, i.e. permitting non-standard base-pairing at the 3rd anti-codon position.
Source: Rfam
GCCUCUGUAGCAUAGUGGUAGUGCGUUCGCUUCGUAAGCGAAAGGUCGUGAGUUCGAUCCUCACUAGAGGCU